RNAcentral lists this ribosomal RNA (490 nucleotides) under Streptomyces sp. RNAcentral describes it as "bacterial SSU rRNA". It matches the Rfam family "Bacterial small subunit ribosomal RNA", at positions 106 to 609 of the family's 1533-position model. The record is from RNAcentral. Lineage: Bacteria; Bacillati; Actinomycetota; Actinomycetes; Kitasatosporales; Streptomycetaceae.
GUGAGUAACACGUGGGCAAUCUGCCCUGCACUCUGGGACAAGCCCUGGAAACGGGGUCUAAUACCGGAUACUGACCCUCGCAGGCAUCUGCGAGGUUCGAAAGCUCCGGCGGUGCAGGAUGAGCCCGCGGCCUAUCAGCUUGUUGGUGAGGUAAUGGCUCACCAAGGCGACGACGGGUAGCCGGCCUGAGAGGGCGACCGGCCACACUGGGACUGAGACACGGCCCAGACUCCUACGGGAGGCAGCAGUGGGGAAUAUUGCACAAUGGGCGAAAGCCUGAUGCAGCGACGCCGCGUGAGGGAUGACGGCCUUCGGGUUGUAAACCUCUUUCAGCAGGGAAGAAGCGAAAGUGACGGUACCUGCAGAAGAAGCGCCGGCUAACUACGUGCCAGCAGCCGCGGUAAUACGUAGGGCGCAAGCGUUGUCCGGAAUUAUUGGGCGUAAAGAGCUCGUAGGCGGCUUGUCGCGUCGGUUGUGAAAGCCCGGGGCU